ACCUGGCGGUCGUUUGUGGCCGUCCAGGGGUGUUGCGUUUCGGUGCAUCCUUGCCGCCCGAGUUGCUCACCGCCUAAGUCAUUGCUUGAAAGCAGCCCCAAGGAGGGUGAUAGGCCCGUGUGGCGGCGCCUGUAAAAAGGGUGAAGGCGGCUCGGGCGGGUGGGUGUUCACCGUAGAGUCGGGUUGCUUAGUACUGCAGCCCUAAGCAGGUGGUAAACUCCAUCUAAGGCUAAAUACUACCACGAGUCCGAUAGAGAACAAGUACCGUGAGGGAAAGCUGAAAAGGACUUUGAAGAGAGAGUUCAAUAGGACGUGAAACCGUUAGAAGCUUAAACGGGUGGAACCGCGAAGGUUGAACGAGGGGAUUCAGCUCGCCGGUGCUCGGAGGCUGCGGGUGUUUCGGAGAGUCUUUGACGACCGGACCCGGCACGCAUAUAGGUUCUGUGGCCGGGCUGCGCCCGUGCCUCCGAGUUGCUCGGCGGGCUUACUUCUCCCUCGGGAAGUCGCCGCGACCCGCUUCCGGGAGCCCCAGGGCCGUGCCGCAUUGGUAGCCCGGGC
RNAcentral lists this ribosomal RNA (558 nucleotides) under Lysmata seticaudata (Monaco shrimp). RNAcentral describes it as "eukaryotic LSU rRNA". It matches the Rfam family "Eukaryotic large subunit ribosomal RNA", at positions 118 to 468 of the family's 3401-position model. The record is from RNAcentral. Lineage: Eukaryota; Metazoa; Arthropoda; Malacostraca; Decapoda; Hippolytidae.